RNAcentral lists this long non-coding RNA (1788 nucleotides) under Solanum tuberosum (potato). RNAcentral's name for it is "long non-coding RNA (STUB_LNC006764)". The record is from RNAcentral. Lineage: Eukaryota; Viridiplantae; Streptophyta; Magnoliopsida; Solanales; Solanaceae.
ACCACAUUUUCUCAUAAUUGUCAUUAUCAGUAAAAAGUGAUAAAAUGACACAAUGCAGUAUGACGUCUAAAAUGAACAAAGCUUGGUUAAGGUGUCCAAGUAAAAAUUGGUGUCAACUUUAGGAGGCCACCGAUGAAUUAUGCCAAAAUAGAUGAUAUACAAAUAGACCAUAAAAAAUAUGGUGUAGUGAAUAAAGUUAUUCCUUCAUUAAUCAGAGAUUUUGAUUUUGAGCCCGGUAUAUAAAAAGCGCUUCCGCCGAAUGAGCCCUAUGUAGAGAAAAAGAUAUCAAACACCGAACAAAUAUAUCUCGUAAUCCAAAAAAUAAAAUAGUGGUGCUGAUUGUAUACAAUAAAUGCUUAGGUGUCCAAGAAGUAGCUCUUAGUCAUCUAUCAAAUUAAUGAGGGAGGCAAGUGGGUGAACCCCCAAAGUCUGUUACCAAAUAUGGUAAAACAAUCAAGUCCCCUACGCAACACUUCACUUAUAUAUUAUUAUUAUUUGAAGAAUUGAACACUGUACUUGUGAUUUUAUACGUUGGUAUCGUGUUUGAUGUACAUACGUCACUUUCUUUUUGGUUAAAUUGGCCUUUGUUUUGUCUAAUUUGUGCGCAUAUCAAAUAUUUCAUCAAUUACCUGCUAUUUCCAACCUACAAAGCUAAGUCAAUGAGAAGCCAUCACCUUAAAUGGUUGUUUGGUUAGGACCAAGGAUAUCCUGAGAUUAUAAUACCGGAAUUAUAAUCGCUAUCCUAGUUUAGUUACUACCAAUGAUCAAGCACAGAUGCUUAGUCUAAAUAAUAUAGGAACAGAUUUCUAGUUCUAGUUAAAUUAUGCUCUGCACUAUUAAUAAUAGAGGUGUUCCUAGCUCUUUUCUAGUGAGGAAUAUAGUGAAAAAUUAUUUGAGUUUAUAAAUAAAAUAUUUUUCAUCAUGAUUUUCACUCAUUGCAUUGACGGCAAGACCACCCUCCUAGGGUGCAAGUCUUUCUUUUUCUCACCACUUUUCUCAAGUUAAUUUAUAUCUAGAUUUCAACUCAUCAGUCAGUCAAAUACACCUAUCAUGGUCAAUUGGCUUUACUUAUUUCUUUCAAAGAUUUGAUUUUUCUAACUUCCCCCAUCUUCCCCUUAUAUAUUUUCCUUCUUCAACUAGGCUGAAAAUUCCACAAACAAGAGGAAAAUUAGUUAUCUUGAGAGUGGGGUAGAAGCUUCUGCUUUCCAUUGCUAUUUAUCUCACUAGUUAUAGGUGCAAGGAAGACUCUGAUGGAGGGGAAAGCAGAGGCAGUAACAAUGAAGCCAACUAAUGAUGAACUACUUUCUAAACAAAUAAUGAGGCAGGAAGCAGCAGCAACAGAAAAACAAGAAAUUCAAAUGCGAUGUGACGACGCAAUGAAGCCAAAUGAUGAUGAACUUCUUUCUAAACAAAGAAUGAAGCAGGAAGCAGUAGCAACAGAAAAACAAGGAAUUCAAAUGCAAUGCGACGACACAAUUACAGAUCAAGAGAUGAACAAAAUUGAACUAAUGAGGGCUCUUGUUGAAAAGCAAGAUCCUUCUUCCAAGGUAUUAUACAAUUUUCUGCAGCAUUGCAGCAUUUCUCUCCCUUUCUAACUAUAAAAAUCAAUAUUUUUUAAACAAAAGUAGAAUGAUUUCCAUGUACCUUGUUUGCAGGAAGUAGAUGACUAUGCCUUGAGAAGGUUUCUUCGAGCUCGCGAUCUGGACAUAGAGAAAUCUGCAGCAAUGUUCUUGAAAUAUCUUAAAUGGAGGCAAAGCUUUGUACCAAAAGGGUCCAUUUCAGUGAGUG